RNAcentral lists this ribosomal RNA (479 nucleotides) under Bacillus sp. SSCA33. RNAcentral's name for it is "bacterial SSU rRNA". It matches the Rfam family "Bacterial small subunit ribosomal RNA", at positions 32 to 495 of the family's 1533-position model. Lineage: Bacteria; Bacillati; Bacillota; Bacilli; Caryophanales; Bacillaceae. The record is from RNAcentral.
AACGCUGGCGGCGUGCUAAUACAUGCAAGUCGAGCGGACAGAAGGGAGCUUGCUCCCGGAUGUUAGCGGCGGACGGGUGAGUAACACGUGGGUAACCUGCCUGUAAGACUGGGAUAACUCCGGGAAACCGGAGCUAAUACCGGAUAGUUCCUUGAACCGCAUGGUUCAAGGAUGAAAGACGGUUUCGGCUGUCACUUACAGAUGGACCCGCGGCGCAUUAGCUAGUUGGUGAGGUAACGGCUCACCAAGGCGACGAUGCGUAGCCGACCUGAGAGGGUGAUCGGCCACACUGGGACUGAGACACGGCCCAGACUCCUACGGGAGGCAGCAGUAGGGAAUCUUCCGCAAUGGACGAAAGUCUGACGGAGCAACGCCGCGUGAGUGAUGAAGGUUUUCGGAUCGUAAAGCUCUGUUGUUAGGGAAGAACAAGUGCAAGAGUAACUGCUUGCACCUUGACGGUACCUAACCAGAAAGCCACG